UCUAAAAGAGUUGGAGAACUAAUUGGUUAUGGGUGUUAUUGUGGCUGGGGAGGAAGUGGUACACCGGUAGAUGGCGUUGAUAGAUGUUGUCAAGCUCACGAUAACUGUUAUGGCAGACAUUCUAAUUGCUCCCCAAAAUGGGAAUAUUACUCGUACUCAUUCCAGGGGAAUACCAUGAUAUGUAGAGAUAAAUUUGGAUCGUGUGACCGGAAUGUCUGUAUGUGCGAC
Long non-coding RNA from Mytilus californianus (California mussel), 228 nucleotides. RefSeq lists it as uncharacterized. The record is from RefSeq and is a predicted model, not a curated record. The transcript has 3 exons. NCBI's taxonomy places the organism in Eukaryota, Metazoa, Mollusca, Bivalvia, Mytilida, Mytilidae.